Molecule: ribosomal RNA, 372 nt
Filed under: uncultured organism
Description: bacterial SSU rRNA
Rfam family: Bacterial small subunit ribosomal RNA
Source: RNAcentral
CGUAGGUGGCGAGCGUUGUCCGGAUUUACUGGGCGUAAAGAGCGCGCAGGCGGUCGUGCAAGUCGCGUGUGAAAGCCCCCGGCUCAACUGGGGAGGGUCACGCGAUACUGCUCGACUCGAAGGCAGGAGAGGGAAGUGGAAUUCCCGGUGUAGUGGUGAAAUGCGUAGAUAUCGGGAGGAACACCAGUGGCGAAGGCGACUUCCUGGCCUGUUCUUGACGCUGAGGCGCGAAAGCUAGGGUAGCAAACGGGAUUAGAUACCCCGGUAGCCCUAGCCGUAAACGAUGGACACUAGGUGUUGGUGGUAUCAACCCCGCCAGUGCCGAAGCUAACGCAUUAAGUGUCCCGCCUGGGGAGUACGGCCGCAAGGCUA